UACGUAGGGUGCAAGCGUUGUCCGGAAUUAUUGGGCGUAAAGAGCUCGUAGGCGGUUCGUCGCGUCGGCUGUGAAAUCCCGAGGCUCAACCUCGGGUCUGCAGUCGAUACGGGCGGACUGGAGUACUGCAGGGGAGACUGGAAUUCCUGGUGUAGCGGUGAAAUGCGCAGAUAUCAGGAGGAACACCGGUGGCGAAGGCGGGUCUCUGGGCAGUAACUGACGCUGAGGAGCGAAAAGCGUGGGGGAGCAAACAGG
This 255-nucleotide ribosomal RNA is filed under the name uncultured bacterium. RNAcentral's name for it is "partial 16S ribosomal RNA". It matches the Rfam family "Bacterial small subunit ribosomal RNA", at positions 524 to 776 of the family's 1533-position model. The record is from RNAcentral.